Non-coding RNA from Listeria innocua Clip11262, 115 nucleotides. The record is from Rfam. NCBI's taxonomy places the organism in Bacteria, Bacillati, Bacillota, Bacilli, Caryophanales, Listeriaceae.
AUAAGCUAACAACAAGCAUAACAUUUUCAUUCUUCUCCCCCCUAUUAGAAUGAAAACCCUAAACUCCCUUUUUUUGACCGAUGCGGUUUACUCCCUUUUCCGCAUCGGUUUUUUU